Molecule: ribosomal RNA, 250 nt
Filed under: uncultured bacterium
Lineage: Bacteria
Description: partial 16S ribosomal RNA
Rfam family: Bacterial small subunit ribosomal RNA
Source: RNAcentral
AUCGUCCUACGGGGGGCAGCAGUGAGGAAUAUUGGUCAAUGGGCGGAAGCCUGAACCAGCCAAGUCGCGUGAGGGAAGAAGGCCCUGCGGGUCGCAGACCUCUUUGGACGGGGAGCAAGGCCGCCGACGUGUCGGCGGACGGAGAGUACCCGUAGAACAAGCAUCGGCUAACUCCGUGCCAGCAGCCGCGGCAAUACGGAGGAUGCGAGCGGUAUCCGGAUUUAUUGGGCUUAAUGGGUGCGCAGGCGGC